Molecule: long non-coding RNA, 616 nt
Filed under: Homo sapiens (human)
Lineage: Eukaryota; Metazoa; Chordata; Mammalia; Primates; Hominidae
Description: non-protein coding lnc-MEOX1-3:2
Source: RNAcentral
GGGUGACUCGCGGGCAUUCUCCCCGCUUCUCGCAGAAAUCGCCCGGAAAUGGGAGCUUGCGCGAAGCGCUGAUCGGCCCGCUGGGGAAGCUCAUGGACCCGGGCUCCCUGCCGCCCCUCGACUCUGAAGAUCUCUUCCAGGAUCUAAGUCACUUCCAGGAGACGUGGCUCGCUGAAGCUCAAAUCCAACUACCCUGGAACUCUCCAUAGAAGCUCGGAGUAAAAAGAAAAUGACCCCUGACUAGAUCCUUGGAGUGAGACUAGCUCAGGUACCAGACAGUGAUGAGCAGUUUGUUCCUGAUUUCCAUUCAGAAAACCUAGCUUUCCACAGCCCCACCACCAGGAUCAAGAAGGAGCCCCAGAGUCCCCGCACAGACCCGGCCCUGUCCUGCAGCAGGAAGCCGCCACUCCCCUACCACCAUGGCGAGCAGUGCCUUUACUCCAGUGCCUAUGACCCCCCCAGACAAAUCGCCAUCAAGUCCCCUGCCCCUGGUGCCCUUGGACAGUCGCCCCUACAGCCCUUUCCCCGGGCAGAGCAACGGAAUUUCCUGAGAUCCUCUGGCACCUCCCAGCCCCACCCUGGCCAUGGGUACCUCGGGGAACAUAGCUCCGUCUUC